AUUUGUUAAAGAAACAAGCAUGUUUAGGAUCACCAAAACACGGAUAAAUACACUUUAAAAAAAAAAACGAAAAAUGAUCUAACCAACAAAAUGAACAAGAAUUCACUUUACAUAGCCCUAGUCUUAUAUGGUUUAACAGGAGUGAGGGGUGAACAGUGUUGAGAUUAAUAAUAACAUGCAACUUUCUGUAUGGAUUAUAGUACAUCUAUUUCAGGUAUUUUAUUUGCUGAACCUUUAAUAUUUGGCAAAAAAAAACAACCUGAUUUAACUGACAAAGCACAUCAUGGCUAG
Molecule: long non-coding RNA, 291 nt
Organism: Etheostoma cragini (Arkansas darter)
Lineage: Eukaryota; Metazoa; Chordata; Actinopteri; Perciformes; Percidae
Exons: 3
Source: RefSeq, a predicted model, not a curated record